RNAcentral lists this ribosomal RNA (484 nucleotides) under uncultured bacterium. RNAcentral's name for it is "partial 16S ribosomal RNA". It matches the Rfam family "Bacterial small subunit ribosomal RNA", at positions 30 to 507 of the family's 1533-position model. The record is from RNAcentral.
AUUGAACGCUGGCGGCAUGCUUUACACAUGCAAGUCGAACGGCAGCGCGGGCUUCGGCCUGGCCGCGAGUGGCCAACGGGUGAGUAAUUCAUCCGAACGUGCCCAGUAUUUGGGGCUAGCCCGGCGAAAGCCGGAUUAAUCCCGCAUCCGACCUCAUGGUGAAAGCGGGGGACCAACAGUCCUCGCGCUUUUGGAUCUCCCUAUGUCGGAUUAGCUAGUUGGUGGGGUAAAGGCUUACCAAGGCGACGAUCCGUAGCUGGUCUGAGAGGCCGACCAGCCACACUGGGACUGAGACACGGCCCAGACUCCUACGGGAGGCAGCAGUGGGGAAUCUUGGACAAUGGGGGCAACCCUGAUCCAGCCAUGCCGCGUGCGGGAAGAAGGCCUUCGGGUUGUAAACCGCUUUUGUUCGGGAAGAAAUCCUCUGGGAUAAUACCCCGGGGGGAUGACGGUACCGGAAGAAUAAGCACCGGCUAACUACGUG